GCAUAUCAAUAAGCGGAGGAAAAGAAACCAACAGGGAUUACUUAGUAACGGCGAGUGAAGCGGUAAAAGCUCAAAUUUGAAAUCUUCGGAAUUGUAAUUUGACGGAUAGAAUUGCUAUUAAAAAAAGUUCACUGGAAUGUGACGCCACAGAGGGUGAUAGCCCCGUUAAUUAAAAGCACUAUAAUUCUAUUCCUAAGAGUCGGGUUGUUUGGGAAUGCAGCUCAAAGUGGGUGGUAAAUUCCAUCUAAAGCUAAAUAUUGGCGAGAGACCGAUAGCGAACAAGUACAGUGAUGGAAAGAUGAAAAGAACUUUGAAAAGAGAGUGAAAUAGUACGUGAAAUUGUUGAAAGGGAAGGGAAAGGGGGAGAUAAUUCAAGACAAUACUUCGGUGUUACUUGACCACAUCUUGCUCUUUUCACCCGUCUUGAAACACGGACCAAGGAGUCUAACGAUUAUGCAAGUAUUUGAGUAAAUCCCCAAAUGCGGAAUGAAAGUAAUUGGUCAAACCUACCCUCCUGUCCUUAUGGGCGGGAGAGGAAGCAUAAUUAUUAGGACCCGAAAGAUGGUGAACUAUACCUGGAUAGGGUGAAGCCAGAGGAAACUCUGGUGGAAGCUCGUAGCGGUUCUGACGUGCAAAUCGAUCGUCAAAUCUGGGUAUAGGGGCGAAAGACUAAUCGAACCAUCUAGUAGCUGGUUCCUGC
Molecule: ribosomal RNA, 700 nt
Filed under: Metschnikowia colocasiae
Lineage: Eukaryota; Fungi; Ascomycota; Pichiomycetes; Serinales; Metschnikowiaceae
Description: LSU rRNA
Rfam family: Eukaryotic large subunit ribosomal RNA
Source: RNAcentral